Long non-coding RNA from Lutra lutra (Eurasian river otter), 3646 nucleotides. RefSeq lists it as uncharacterized. The transcript is spliced from 3 exons. Lineage: Eukaryota; Metazoa; Chordata; Mammalia; Carnivora; Mustelidae. The record is from RefSeq and is a predicted model, not a curated record.
UACCCUUUCAAAAGCUCAUCUACAGAGGAGCCUGUGAAACACCAUACCGCACAGCUGUGCUCUUCCUGUCCUUUCGUUCCUGGGGACAUGUCAGCAGCAUUUCCCCAGUCCGAUGAGUUUCAGAGCCCGCUCUCUUCCUGCCUGUUUCUUCUCGCUGGAACUACAAGUAGGGAGGAUUUAGCUUCCAUUUUGAAAUCCACAAUCCUGAUGAAAUGUGAUCGCUGGGAAAAAAUAUCUCAGGGACUGUUUAUUAGGGCCACCACAUUUCUGGCAUGAGAAACGGACUGCAAACACUUUGUUACUCUGGUAUUCCGGCUGCUAACACAGCAGGGUGUAAGGUCUUUACGUAAUCCCAAACCUCAGCCUGGAAGAGUUAAUGAUGUUACUCAUGCCACUGGGGCAUGAAAGAAAAGCUUGCAUUUUUGGAUGGUUAUUGCUUGCCCAGAGCGGUGGAAUGAGCCAUAAGGCUGAAGGCCAAGGGACGUGGGCCACCCAUGCAGCGAAAUAAUCCCCAAGAAAUGCACUGCCUGGAAUGGAAAUGAGAGGAAAGUGAACAGUCAUUCCAGGGCAUCUACUGAACGUUACCGAUAGUCAUUCAGUCUAAAGUCUACCUGAUUCUCAAUACUGCAAAUCUCGGAUCUGGGAUAUAUUAUACAGAUCACAGGAAACGAUUGAAAUCAAGCGGUCCAGGCCCUGUUCCUGUCAAGCUCCGGGUCGUAAGCAGUGAGCUCCAUUCUUAUUUCGGUUCCAACAGGAAUGAAUAAUUAAUAACCUAGUUUUGAAUGGAAAGUACAUUUCAAUGGAUGGGUAAUGCUUUCAGCAAGGCCUCUGAGGGUUAUUGUUUAUUUCCUUCUUUCCUUCUUCCCAAAGUGGGACCCUGGAUGAGAAGAAAGAAAUAAUAUUCAAAUGUACAGUGGCCUACAUUUUUGACCCAUCGGAGAUGCAUGUGAAUAAAGAAAAGCAGAAUUUAACGUUGACAUUGGCAUCCACCAUACACUAGACACUCUGUUCUAUGUCUUGUAAGCACUUUAUUGAUCUUCGUGGCAACAGUUUGGUACUUGGCAUUGGCCCAGUUUUUCAGAUGAGGACAUUGGGCUCAGAGAGGUUAAGCAACUUGCCUGAAGUCACACAGCUCGCAGCUUCGAGAGCCAAGAGCUGGGACCAGGUAUGCCCGCCUUCAAAGCUGGGUUCAUGCUCUUUCCGCCGUGACAUUUCAUAGACUCGCAGACCCCCCGUGUUGGGAAUGAUUUGGGGGGUCAUUUAGGUGAGCCCUCGAAAUGAAGGAGGCGUGAUUCUGGUUGUCUCCAUGACGCUGAAGGCCAAACAAGUAUAAAUUGUGCCUGAAGUCCAAGCUGCGGCCUAGAAGAAAUGAGACCAAAGCUUCGAGCCACAGACAGAGGGCAACGGACAAGUACCGGUGUGGGCGGGACGGUCACAACUUCCUGAAGCCACAAGACAGCUUUACCCGUGACAUGAAAGAGGGGAGAGAGAGUUCCCAGCACCAGCUCCCUGCAGCCCGAUGGCCUGGUGGCCUGGGUCAUCCCCGAAUCUCUUGGUCUCGGCUCCCUCACCAGCGAUGAAAUCUCAUCCUCUGGAGGAGGGUUAUGGGUGGAAUUGUGUCCCUAAAGAUGUGUCGAAUGGGACUUGAAGUGCAAAUAGGGUCUUUGACGAUGUAGUCAAGCGAAGACGAGCUCCUGCGGGACAAGGGUGGGCCUUGAAUCCUGUAGGACUGGUGUCCUUCGAAGGGACAGAGAAACACCCACCAAGAAGUAUGGCCGUCAUGUAGCAAGGGUUGCGCCCAUCACCAGAAGCCCCACGAGGCGAGGAAGAAUUCUUCACUGGCUGCAGAGAGAGCAGGGUCCUGGCGACAUCUUGAUUUCAGACGUGUAGCUUCCAGAACCACAAGACGUUUCCCGGAGCAAGAGCAUAAGCAAUUUAUGCUGAAUUCUGGAAAAGGACCCCGCCCCAUUCAGAGGGCUCCUCUAUAGGAUCUUCUAGAUCCCUCCCAGCCUGGAGGUUCUGUGAGUCUAUGAAAUGUGCUGAUGAAGGAGAACAAACCCCAAACCCAGGCUUUGAAGUCAGACAUACCUGGUUCCAGCUCCUAGCUCUCAUGUGCACCUGCUGUGUGACCUCGGGGAAGCAGCUGAACCUCUCUGAGGUUCAUCAUCUGAAAAACCGGGCCAGUGCCAACGGCCAAAUCACGGCUGUGAGGAUGAAGUGGAAAAAUAUUUAUUAAAACACACAGCAAAGAUGGAAUUGGAAGAACAGCUCAGAACAUUACUUGCGGGGGAAGCGGGAGGAGGCCUGCCUGAACCAGAGAGGACUCAGCACUGUUGCUGAGAGGAGCUACUUGGGUCUGCUCCUUUCCCAAGGCCUGGCCAUGCUUCCUUUCUCUCUGUCCUUUGUGCCCCGGAUUCUUGGGAACAACCCAGAUCUGUACCUGGGCCGUCCGCCAUCAUCGUGCUGUUCCUCCGAGGCCGCACACCCCGGAACGCGAUGACUUUCCUGGGUUUUGCUGCCUCUUACUCGACAGAACCUAUCCCAGCCCUCUAUGGACUUUCUGACUGUUAUUCCUUCUUAUUUGCUUAGUUCAUGCAUUCCACGAACAUUCUGGGGGGUCCACAGGGCGCCAGGCCCUGUGCUAGGGCUCCACAACCCCCGACCCCUGUCCAUCUGCCCCAGGAUCCUGCUGCUGGCUCUCCCCAGGCUCCCGAAUAACCACCCCCCUCGGAUUCCUCCCUCCCUCCUGUCCCCGAGGCAGGCUGCGCUGCGGGGUACCUUCACCCCCCCACCCCCCCCACCCCCGGCCAGGAACAAAUCCUGACACUCUGCCGAUAUUUGUUGAUUAAAUGAACACAUAGAAAAGGAUUUUUUUUUAAUUACCACCCCUUCCGCAUUCCCAGCCCCCUUUCAGACUGAUGUAAUCCAAAUUACUGUGCACAGUGAUGAGUUAAAUGCCGGCAGCUUGGUGAUUGUGUUCUAGCUCUUAGGCAGGCCCGUUAUCAGCACCUCUGCGAGUUUCUGAUUUUCAAGUAUCCCCAGGGCUUAAAAAUGCUAAUGAUAGCUCUCUUCCUAUUACUGUAAUAAUACUGAGCACUUGUGUCCUGCUACAUAAAAUCAGUUCAAGUGCACCCACACCCCCCUGGUGAGCUGGGUCCCUUAUUAGCUCCCUGUUGUCAACGGGCAGCUGAGGAGUGAUGGGGUUUGGCUGGGGCACACUGGGCUUCCAUCUGAAAUCGUCUCCCCACUGCUGUCCUGGAGGUCUGUGCUGUCCCCUGAGAGUGUAAACAGGUGGCACAUGUCCAGGACCCCAGUCCCACCCCUCCUCGGAGGUCUGAGCAGGAGGGUGGCUCUCACUUGCGGAGGAAGAAACCCUGUCAGAGGUGUGACAGCACCAUCCUCUGUACGUGAAAUUAGCCAUGGAAAUCGUGCUGAUUAAGUCACAGUUACAAUGACUGUCCAAACAGCGACUUCUCCAGCAGACUUGAAAAAGUUAAUGACCUGUGGGAGGGGAUGAACAGGGUGCCCCAUUGUCCCAGGUUAAGAAAGCAACCUGUCAGAGGUGCCUGGGUGGUUCAGUGGGUUAAAGCCUCUUCCUUCGGCUCAGGUCAUGAUCUCGGGGUCCUGGGAUCAAACCCCACAUCAG